Molecule: unclassified non-coding RNA, 505 nt
Filed under: uncultured Glomus
Lineage: Eukaryota; Fungi; Glomeromycota; Glomeromycetes; Glomerales; Glomeraceae
Description: SSU rRNA
Rfam family: Eukaryotic small subunit ribosomal RNA
Source: RNAcentral
AGCAGCCGCGGUAAUUCCAGCUCCAAUAGCGUAUAUUAAAGUUGUUGCAGUUAAAAAGCUCGUAGUUGAAUUUCGGGGUUAGCAGGUCGGUCGUGCCAUCGGUAUGAACUGGUCUCGCUGAUCCCUCCCUCUUGACGAACUGUGAUGCCAUUAAUUUGGUGUCGCAGGGAAUCAGGACUGUUACUUUGAAAAAUUGAGUGUUUAAAGCAGGCUCACGCUUGAAUACAUUAGCAUGGAAUAAUGAAAUAGGACGUUUGAUCCUAUUUUGUUGGCUUCUAGGAUUGACGUAAUGAUUAAUAGGGAUAGUUGGGGGCAUUAGUAUUCAAUUGUCAGAGGUGAAAUUCUUGGAUUUAUUGAAGACUAACUACUGCGAAAGCAUUUGCCAAGGAUGUUUUCAUUAAUCAAGAACGAAAGUUAGGGGAUCGAAGACGAUCAGAUACCGUCGUAGUCUUAACCAUAAACUAUGCCGACUAGGGAUCGGAUGAUGUUAAUUUUUAAUGACUCU